GAUGAACGCUGGCGGCGUGCUUAACACAUGCAAGUCGAACGGAAAGGCCGAAGCUUGCUUCGGUACUCGAGUGGCGAACGGGUGAGUAACACGUGGGUGAUCUGCCCUGUACUUCGGGAUAAGCUUGGGAAACUGGGUCUAAUACCGGAUAUGACGAUCUCUUGGAUGGGGUUGUGGAAAGCUUUUGCGGUAUGGGAUGAGCUCGCGGCCUAUCAGCUUGUUGGUGGGGUAAUGGCCUACCAAGGCGUCGACGGGUAGCCGGCCUGAGAGGGUGUACGGCCGCAUUGGGCUUGUGCUCCGGCCCCGACUCCGCCGGGGGGCAGUAAGGGGGAAGAUUGCACAAUGGGCGCAAGCCUGAUGCAGCGACGCCGCGUGGGGGAUGACGGCCUUCGGGUUGUAAACUCCUUUCGCAAUCGACGAAGCCUUUUGGUGACGGUAGGUGGAGAAGAAGCACCGGCUAACUACGUG
RNAcentral lists this ribosomal RNA (468 nucleotides) under uncultured bacterium. RNAcentral's name for it is "partial 16S ribosomal RNA". It matches the Rfam family "Bacterial small subunit ribosomal RNA", at positions 28 to 507 of the family's 1533-position model. The record is from RNAcentral.